GGUAACUCCUCAACUUUGCUAUGACUUAAAUCAAUCUCGCUUAGGUGACACAAAUUUCCAAUCCCUUCAGGAAGUCUAGAAAGACACUUACAUCCUUCAAGGUCUAGAAUUUCCAAGUUAUCCAAAGAGCAAAUUGAAUCAGGUAACUCCUCAACUUUGCUCCAACAUAUAUCAAUCUUCCUUAGGUGACGCAAAUUUCC
Long non-coding RNA from Ipomoea nil (Japanese morning glory), 200 nucleotides. RefSeq lists it as uncharacterized. The record is from RefSeq and is a predicted model, not a curated record. The transcript is spliced from 3 exons. Lineage: Eukaryota; Viridiplantae; Streptophyta; Magnoliopsida; Solanales; Convolvulaceae.